This is an RNA transcript of Dunckerocampus dactyliophorus (ringed pipefish), 7866 nucleotides long. It is a transcript of the gene named metal transporter CNNM3, with no coding region annotated. The record is from RefSeq and is a predicted model, not a curated record. NCBI's taxonomy places the organism in Eukaryota, Metazoa, Chordata, Actinopteri, Syngnathiformes, Syngnathidae. The transcript is spliced from 13 exons.
AUAUUAACUUGAAUUUUAGUCCCUUCUGAUUGCGUUGACUCAAAAGUAGAUAUUGGAGUUUAGUUGUGUCGUGAAGCUGACUCUUAAUAAGUUUUAUACACAUGAAGUCCCAUUUGUCCCAUAUUUUGAACGCAGCAUCCGCCCCGGUAGGCGGGGCCUGCUGCUGAACACAGUCACAUGACCUGCCCCGAUCCAGGCUGACCAAUUCCAAUAUGGUGGCCAGCUUGGCAGGUCUACGGUUCUUGUUGAUGAUAUUGUUGUCGUGCGGGAUCAGGUUGGGCUCCUGCAGCCAGGGAGCCCCGCUCGUCCUGGGCCUGCGCCUGGAGGAGCCGGCGGCUCGGGUGUACAGGAAGGGUCGGAUCAUCUCGGCGCCAGAAGGAGCGACGUUCAGGCUGCGUCUCUUCGGGACCGACCUGAAUAAACAGACCUGGCCGUGGCUAGCUUUCGCUGGGGAACCCGGAGGGGGUGUCGUGGACCCCUGCGAGGAGGAGUCCAACCGGCAGACUGCUGCUUUCUGGGUGAAGGAGCCGUUCAGCCGGGAUGAGGAGUACGGCGGGCUGCUGACGGUGGUCAGCAGCCCGGAGGGCAACGAGCAGAUCCUCUAUCAUCUGUGUGUGCUGAGCGGGGAGAAGUGGACCUCAGUGGGCCCGGAUAGGCUGCGCAUCAACACGGACAAGGCUCUGCCCGCGGACUACAUCCCAACGUGGGGCCUGGCUGUGCUCAUCGCGCUGCUGCUGCUCGUCUGCGGGCUGCUGAGGACAGUCAACCUGAGCCUCCUCUGGCUCGACCCUGUGGAGCUUUAUGUCCUCCACAGCUGCGGUUCCGAGGAGGAGAAGCAGGCCGCCAAACGUCUGGAGCCCAUCAGAAGAAGAGGGAACUUUCUGGCCUGCUCUCUGCUCUUCCUGUGCGUCCUGGGUCACUCGGUUGUGGGCGUGCUUCUCUUUCGAGCCCUGGGCUCCAUCGCGUCAGCCGUCUUCACCAGCGCCGUCCUCCUCUUCUUCCUGGCGGAGCUGCUGCCUCACAUCGUGUGCUCGGGUUACGGCUUCCAGAUGGCACCGGGCCUCACCUGGCUGGCCCAGGUGUGCAUGGUGCUCAGCUGCCCCCUUUCCUGCCCCCUGGGCCUGGUCCUGGACCUGGCGCUCCGGCGGGACAUCAGCACCUGCGGCAUCAGGGAGAGGGCCAUGGAGAUGAUCCGCACCAGCGUCAACGACCCGUACAGCGAGUUUGUGAAGGAGGAGUUCAGCCGCGGGACGCUGCGCAGUAAGACGGUGGAGGACAUCUUGACGCCCCUGAAGGACUGUUUCAUGCUGCCCAGCUCCACCCUGCUGGACUUCUCCACUAUGUCAGACAUCAUGCAGAGCGGAUACACGCGUGUGCCCAUCUACGAUGAGGAGAGGUCCAACAUUGUGGAGAUCCUCUACGUCAAGGACUUGGCUCUGGUGGACCCAGACGACUCCACCCCCAUGACCACCAUCACCAAGUUCUACAACCACCCGCUGCACUUCGUCUUCAAUGACACCAAACUGGAUGCUAUGUUGGAGGAGUUCAAGAAAGGCAACUCUCACAUGGCCAUCGUCCAGAAGGUCAACAACGAGGGGGAGGGCGACCCCUUCUAUGAGGUUCUGGGCUUGGUGACUUUGGAGGACGUGAUCGAAGAGAUCAUCAAGUCUGAGAUCUUGGACGAGUCAGACGGUUACUUGGACAGGAAGGUCAAGCGUCCUCUGGCGCCGAUGGAGAUCCCCCUCGAGCCUCGCGGCGCCCCCGAGGAGUUCUCCCUCUUCAAGCCUCCCGAGGGAGAACCCAAGAUCCGAACGUCGCCGCAGCUCCUGCUGGCCACUCACCGUUUCAUGUCCAGAGAGGUGGAGCACUUCAGCCCGCUGCGCGUGUCUGAGAAGGUCCUCUUCCACUUGCUGCGCCACCCCAGCGUCAACCAGGAGGUGCACUUUGACCCCGGCAACCGCCUGAGCCCUGCCCACUACCUGUACACGCGCAACCACCCGGUGGACUAUUUCAUCCUGCUGCUGCAGGGUCGCGUGGAGGUGGAGAUCGGCAAAGAGGGGCUCAAGUUUGAGAACGGGGCGUUUACGUACUACGGCGUGUCUGCGCUUACGCUGCCAUCCUCAGUGCACCAGUCUCCAGUGUCAACUCAGCACCAGUCUCCCAGAGAUCCGUUCGACUUGUCAGAGACGACCAGCCCGUCUAGUUACUGUCCAGACUACACCGUCAGAGCGCUCACCGACCUGCAGCUGAUUCGGGUGACACGCCUCCAGUACCUGAAUGCUCUGAUGGCGUCACGGGCCGGCCCCGGUGCAGACCCGCCUGAGAUCAAGAUCCUCCCCAACAGUCACACCAAACUGCUCAACGACAGGAACGCCGCCACACAAGACUUCAGCCUGUCUUUCUUUGACACCAUAGACAACUACUGUUAGUGCGUCUGUGCACAAGGUGACGGCUGCGGCACGCUCGAGAGCUCCACAGAAGAAGAAGCUCGAGCGUAGUGACUGCUCUCCAUUCCUUCUUGAUGUUGUAAUUAUCAUUAGCAUUAUUAUUAUUAGUAUGUUUUAUAAACACUGUGUGUAGACAUUAUUUACUUGGAUUUUAUGUGGGCAGUGCCUUUCUUCCACUUCAGCAUUGCCAUUUGUCGCUUUUUCUGUGCCAGUGCACGUGUGUGUGCAUGCGUGCGUGCGUGGUGUGUGCACUGUGACACUUGCAAGGCGCUCGUCACGCUAGAUGGUCACAUGACCUUUUGGGCUCGUUUCCACAAUUACAAAGCGGCGACGAGUCUUUCUUGGCGACAUGUGAAAGAGUUCAUGAGGAGCGCCAACAAGAGUCAUUGUCCAACAUCCUAAUGAAGCAUUGCAGUGCUCCUUCUUAAAGGAGGACUUUAACACCGUUGUUUGUCAUUCUUAAGAAGCUAGCUAGCUAGUGUAGCAACUUUAUUGUGUAUUUCAAAUGUUUUCUUCACAACACAAACCUUUUUUUGCUGUUUGAAUGUGCCGCAGAGCUGCUUUCACUUUAACAAUUGUAAAUUCCAAGACUUGAAGUCCAGAAGAAAUAUUACAAUGGAAGAAUUCCUGCUCUCUUUUUCUAACUGGAAUGUGGUCACACUCCUUCACGAUUCAUCUGAAAGCAGCUGGAGCCUUGUCCUGUUGACUUUUGUCUUUCUGUCAAUAUGACAUCAUUAGCAUGCUAGCAUGCUAACAUGCGUGAUGAGCUUCACUGGCUUUGACUGACACGUGCACACGUUGUGCUCCAAAUAUUGACUUUUAGAAAUGACCAGCUGAUAUUAUACUGUACUUUAUCAAGUGUGUGGUAGCAAGGCUUGUUGAGCUAAUUUCCCGUCCUGGAAGUUAGCGUGCAGGUUUAUGUUGUUUGAAUUCCAUUUACCAGAACAACAAAAUAAGUGCUGUAGAGUAGACAUGACCCAUACAUACUGUAACCCUAUGUGCCAAUCCUACAGAAUAUUCAUUGAGUUCCUUGCCUUUGGAAGGCAAUACCAAUGCUUCCAUUUGUCAUAGAUCAUAAGUUUUUGUGACAGCAAACCUAAUAAUAUCCUCAAAUAAAGCAGCUAACAGGUGAGUUUGCGAAGCUAAUCUAAGAUUGGACACUCAUCGUUUGAGAAGGCGGUUUUAGUGUACUUCAGUAACUUUCAGUGUUUUAUUAAGAACAUCAAAACCUUCUGUUGUGUUAUUUGCUGCCCGUGAGGUUACAUGAAAGAAAUGAACGAGAUCAGUGUGCACGCUUGUUAGCGUGUGUGAUUAGCAUCGGGCUAGUUCAGUCUUUUCAUUCCAUUUGAUUAGGGUAUUAUUGGCAUUUUCAUUCUAAGCAGUCAUUUUUGUACGUACAGUAUCUAUAAAAGAUGAAUGUAAAAACACCACGACAAUGAAGUGAUGGCAGAGUUGAAGUAUUAAUGUAAAAUUGCUUCGGUGACCUUCAUAGUUUUUAGGUACAACAUUAUUUGAACUUAAAUCACUUCCUCUUGUUUGAGGGUUCAACUUUUAUAGUUUGUAAUCAAGAGGAGCACCAUUCUAUGAAAUACUUUCAAGAACUCUGUUUUACUAGCAAAUAAACUCAAUCCUGUUGUAAACGCCUGUGCUUUUAUUUGAUUGCGUUCCUAUCGUUCAUCAUCAGAAACUAGUCAACAUUUUAUGAGGAUUAAGUUCACUUGUGCCGUGUGCUAAUCUGCUUUUCUGUACAUUACUUUUAUGUAGCAGCGCCUCCUACCGUCCGACACAGUCAAAUUGUGUCGGACGGUAGAGUCUCAUGGCGGCGGAAGUGGCGCUCCGCUUGUUGCAGUAAGAUGGCUAGUUUGUGUUUGACCGAGGUUGGAUUCUCCCUUGGGCAUUUCUGUGUGGAGUUUGCAUGUUCUCCCCGUGUGUGGGGGGGUGGGGGGGUUCUCCGGGUACUCCGGUUUCCUCCCACAUUCCAAAAACAUGCAUGUUAGCUUCAUUGGAGACUCUAAAUGGUCCAUAGGUAUGAAUGUGAGUGUUUGUCUAUGUGUGCCACUGAACUCUAUAACUGCAAUGGCCCCGAUCGCUUGCUGCGCAUUGGAGGCUUGAAGCCACCGGAAGUAUAGAAGUCGCCAUGUUGUUUCACCCAAAACAAGAAAGUUUAACAACUAAGAGGAGUUGGAGAUGCCGUCUUGUGCUGCUAUUAAUUGCACAAAUCGUGAUACUCGUGAAAAUCGCAAGAAGGGACUUACAUUUCACAGAGUUCCACACUGCAAUGUUCAACUUCUAAAGCAAUGGGUAGUAAAUAUGCGGAGAGACAGGUGGAUUCCUGCAGCCAGAUCGCAACUCUGUUCAAGUCAUUUCACCGAGGAGAACUUGGACAGGACCGGCCAGACUGUUAGAUUACGACAAAAUGCAGUUCCAACAUUUGACUUUCCUGAUCAUCUUCUAAAGGUAUGCUAGCAUUUAACUUUGAUACUACGUAGAUCCUUAUCAUAACAAAUACCUUGUGAACACUGAAACUGACCUGUUAUGCAUUGUAAUUUCACACCAUAGAGGUAGGAAAAAACUUCAACUGGAGGGACAUUUUGAGAUUUGGGUCUUGUAAAUUUACUCUUUUUCAAUGGAAUUUUUGUUAAUUCGUGUUAAUUUUUAUACCGAAACAUAAUAAAUGUAGUGAAUGAAGAUACAUGUAUGUGUAUGCGUGUGUGCUUUUAUUGGUGAAGCAAGAUGGCCGACCAAUGGCUUCAUGCGGUCAGUAGGGACGCCCCUUCCAAUAGUAUAGAGUUCAGUGAUAUGUGCCCUGCCAUUGGCUGGCCACCAGUCCAGGGUGUAUCUCGCCUCUUGCCCCAAGUCAGCUGGGAUAAGCUCCAGCGUGCCCGUGACCCUAGUGGGAAUAAGCGGCAUAGAAGAUGGGUGUUUGACCGAAAAAGGAGGCAACUUAAAUGAGACUCUGGCUUGUUGUUUGCUACAAAGUACACCAGCAGCUUGGAUAACUUGAAAAUACUAACUUCAAAGUUCUAACUUGAAAGUACUUAGUGUGUACACAUAGUGGUCUGAGCACCCCAUGGCUAAAACUACUUGUAUAGGCACUCCAACGAAGACUGUGAUACAUACAUUAUAUACUGUAUGUACAGUACAUACAGUAUAUACAUAUAUGUACUGUAUAUACAUGUAUAUACUGCAUGUACUGUAUAUACAUGUACAGUAUGUUGUUUCUUCCUGUGGUGGUCCCCUGUUUUCUUUCACUAUUUGAUAUGUGCAUCAUUAUUGUUAUUAUUCUUCUUCUUAUUAUUAUUAUUAUUAUUAAAAUAUGUGCAUCAUGUGUGAUUCUCUCCAAUGUAAUCUCAUCAUAGUCCCAGUGAGGAAUUGUGUAGCUCGCAUGCUAUUGUUGUUUUGUAUGGAAACAGUAUCCGUGAUGGAGGUGCAUUAGACAUAUCCAACACACACACUCAUGCUGAGCUUUUGACUCAAAAGAGGCCAAAGGGUAAAGGUCAAACGUUGUUUCCUUUCAUCUGCAUUCAUUUAUCGCUCAUUACAUGCCUGACGUAACCACCUGACAUUUAAUCAUGUGACGUUGCGUGCACACAAACAUGAACUAGCAUGUUGCACUCAUUGAUCUCACGUGUGCCCGUGUGCGUGUGUGUGUGUGUUGUCACAUUCUGGGCACAUGGCAACAGAGGCUAAAUAUAGCCUCAGCUUCACAGCAGGAUCAUGCUUCCUCACGCUCUCUCUCUCACUUCCAACAUGGCCGCCAGUGCCGCCAUCAUGGUACUUCCUGCAGGCGUCCCCUUCCCGGCUGGAGUGCAAUGCUGGCACAGCGACGGCACACCUGAGAGUGGAAUGCUGUCAAUGACUGAUGAUUGAUUGUGUCUCUUUCAGACUUGGAUGACUUUCAGUCAUUAUUCCACUCAGCACAACUAUUUCUAUAUGUUUAGGAUUUGUCCGCAUUUUAUUCACACAUAAAUUGUUUCAUGUGAGUAACAAAUAUUGUUUGUGCAGAUUUUCCCAAAAAGGUCAUCACAUGCCUGAGAUGUGAAGUAGAGAGGGCCUCAGGAAUGAUCCCUGAGGUACAUUCUGUAUGACUUUGACUACUCUUCAGUGGUUAAUAUUGUUGUUGCUUUCAACUUAAAUAGCUGAAUUAAGCUGGGAGGCGUCCACAUUUGAAAUGGGAAUGUCACACAGUAGCCUGACGACCUUCUCCGCCUCGGGGUUAACGUUGUUAGCCAGGCGAGCGCCGCGGGCGUGUGCCAUAAUACCGACUUCCUUUGGAUGGCCUCCCGCCAUGCAUUAGUGCUACUCUGCACACGUUCACGCUCAUUAGUGGCACCGCUGUCGCUGGAGAGUGUCAAAGCACAGCCCCCUGCAGUGAUGAUGAUUUUUGUGUUUAGCUGGUGUCGUUAUUGAUCAACGACAUGUUCCUUUUUUCUUUGAAGGUCAUGGUGCACAUUGGCAUUCUUUUCUGGAGUCUUCUUAGACCUGUGAUGUCAUUGUUUUCAUUCACCCAAAAGUGUGACGUGUUGCUAGAGGGGGAGGAGCUAUGUCCCUAAGGGGGCGUGUCCGAAGCCAACAUACUUCUGUAAUGAGGAUGUGGCGUUGGCCGCUGUGAGCGACACAAUCGGGCCGUUGUGAGCCAGCUGACUCCCUCGGCAGGAAUGUGCUCUGUAGACUCUGCCCACAUUCAAACAUGCGCUUGCCUGGCGCCGGACAGCUGCGGCACUAAGGUGAAGUCACCGUGGACCACCGGGGGGGGGGGGCAAUCAGAAGUCCACGAGAUUGUGAUGCCAAGAACUUUCCAACUCUUCAGUGCCUCACCACAUCCUGUAGAGGGUGCUGUUUCUCCUCCCAAUACACAUUUUACAUUUCAUACAGAGCAGUGAUUUAGUUGCCUAUACUUAAAUGUCAACCCUUCUAACGUGCUCUGCUAUUUGUCCCACUCCAAACCUGUAGGUGGCAGUAAUGCACAUUACCACCAAGAUAGAAGCUUGUUCUUCCACGGUGGCGCCAUCUCCUGGGGCACUGCCCCACUGCCAGCAGACUUCCAUCCCUCCAUAAUGUGCAAAAUGUCAAAUAAUGUGACUUUGUUUGAAGAAAUUAACAUUUGCUUUAUUUUGAAACGGAUGAAAUUCUUUUCCACAAUACAUUUUCCUUUAGAAGUAUUUGAAAAUAUCUUUUUUUUGCUGGUUUGUAAUAUCUUUCCUAUAAUCUUAUGUCAAUAUAGUUCUCUUUCAGAAAAGAAAAAAAGGUUUGUGUCCAGCGUCUCGACAGUUGUUGCCUUGUGUCAGAGUGUCCGCCGUGAGGCAGAGAGGCUGAUGGGAAAUGCGACGCCACACUCCCGUGUCCCGGCCACAAAAUUUGGGCCCGGAACUUUCCAUCCUCCGCCAGGCUCCUGUGACAAUAUUGCUAAGUAUGUGUG